This 24-nucleotide non-coding RNA is filed under the name Mus musculus (house mouse). Lineage: Eukaryota; Metazoa; Chordata; Mammalia; Rodentia; Muridae. The record is from RNAcentral.
UGUUACAUGAAGGAAAAGGGCUGC